UUACGGCCAUAUCACGUUGAAUCAUCGGUUCUCGUAUGAUCAGCGAAGUUAAGCAACAUCGAUCCCGGUCACUACCUAGAUGGGUGACCAAUUGGGAAAAUCAAGUGCUGUCA
Molecule: non-coding RNA, 113 nt
Organism: Acanthosepion pharaonis
Lineage: Eukaryota; Metazoa; Mollusca; Cephalopoda; Sepiida; Sepiidae
Source: the annotation of a GenBank genome assembly